Molecule: ribosomal RNA, 477 nt
Filed under: uncultured bacterium
Lineage: Bacteria
Description: partial 16S ribosomal RNA
Rfam family: Bacterial small subunit ribosomal RNA
Source: RNAcentral
GACGAACGCUGGCGGCGUGCUUAACACAUGCAAGUCGAACGGUAAGGCCCUUCGGGGUACACGAGUGGCGAACGGGUGAGUAACACGUGGGUGAUCUGCCCUGCACUUCGGGAUAAGACUGGGAAACUGGGUCUAAUACCGGAUAGGACUCCGGACUGCAUGGUCUGGGGUGAAAGCUUUUGCGGUGUGGGAUGGGCCCGCGGCCUAUCAGCUUGUUGGGGGGGUGAUGGCCUACCAAGGCGACGACGGGUAGCCGGCCUGGGAGGGUGACCGGCCACACUGGGACUGAGAUACGGCCCAGACUCCUACGGGAGGCAGCAGUGGGGAAUAUUGCACAAUGGGCGCAAGCCUGAUGCAGCGACGCCGCGUGAGGGAUGACGGCCUUCGGGUUGUAAACCUCUUUCAGCAUCGACGAAGCGAAAGUGACGGUAGGUGCAGAAGAAGGACCGGCCAACUACGUGCCAGCCGCCGCCGUAA